CAUUUCGAGUGCAACGGUAGCCAUAUAAAUAAUGAAAACCAGAGUUGAGAGUGUCUCUCCUAUCUUUACAAGAACAAUGACAUUUUUGUGCAAUUGUUGCAAUUUUCAAGCUUGGAAUUCUUUUCUUCUUUGCUUUGACUGGAAUUGAAAAUGCCCACCAAAUGGCUGCCAAGAAAUCUUUUUCCUAUAACUAUCUUCUCUAUCUCACUAUCAAACUAAUGCCUGCAUUGUAUUUCAUUUGGUGUUGGAUUUUUUCGAAAAAUGGGUGAAUAUUGCUGAAGGGAGCAAACAUAUUCAUUGUACAGAAACCCAUCGGGGCAACAUUUGUGAAUAAAUUCCCAUUUUCCUGACUUUAGUGUUCUGUCUUUAUCCAAGAUCAAAGAGGGGCAGUCUUUCUUUUUCAGAUUUGCUUGUGUAAUCAUUUUCAUGACAGAUCCUUGCUGGAAAAUUUCAUUGACUCUGGAAAUUUUCAAAUUCAUACCAUAGCCUUCUUCAUUUUUUGGAGGUUGAUCUCUGUGAUAUUUUUGGGUAUAGCAAACUGUCCAGAAAAAUUAAUGUUUUUUCGGUGGCUUUUUG
RNAcentral lists this long non-coding RNA (576 nucleotides) under Olea europaea (common olive). RNAcentral describes it as "long non-coding RNA (OEUR_LNC007909)". Lineage: Eukaryota; Viridiplantae; Streptophyta; Magnoliopsida; Lamiales; Oleaceae. The record is from RNAcentral.